UCAAUUCUAUCUCUCAUCUUAGUAAAUAAAUAAUUAAUUAAUCAUUUUUUCCAAAAAAAGCUCUAGUUCUUAAUCAUGGGAAGCAAUGUUUUUCUUUUUCUUUGCAAAGCAGUGUAUUUUUAUUUUAUUUUUUAAAGUUUAUUAUAUAAAUAAAAACUAUGAAAAUUUUCAAUAGUUAAGAGAGACUGUUUUGAGAUUUAUAAUUAAUAGUGUCAAUAAAUGAAGACCCGAGAGACAAAAGAAUGCAAACAAACGUUUGGUUGGUUGUGUGAGAUCUGAA
This 280-nucleotide long non-coding RNA is filed under the name Capsella rubella. RNAcentral's name for it is "long non-coding RNA (CRUB_LNC005174)". The record is from RNAcentral. Lineage: Eukaryota; Viridiplantae; Streptophyta; Magnoliopsida; Brassicales; Brassicaceae.